UGGUUCUGGCAUCGAUGAAGAACGCAGCGAAAUGCGAUAAGUAAUGUGAAUUGCAGAAUUCCGUGAAUCAUCGAAUCUUUGAACGCACAUUGCGCCCGCCAGUAUUCUGGCGGGCAUGCCUGUUCGAGCGUCAUUUCAACCCUCAAGCCCCCCGGGGCUUGGUGUUGGGGCUCGGCCCGCCCCUAGCGGCGCGCCGUCCCCGAAAUCUAGUGGCGGUCUCGCGAUAGCCUCCUCUGCGUAGUAGCAAUAUCUCGCACUGGAAACUUCGCAAGCCCACGCCGUUAAACCCCCCACUUCUGAAAGGUUGACCUCGGAUCAGGUAGGAAUACCCGCUGA
Molecule: unclassified non-coding RNA, 336 nt
Filed under: uncultured fungus
Lineage: Eukaryota; Fungi
Description: partial contains 5.8S ribosomal RNA and internal transcribed spacer 2
Rfam family: 5.8S ribosomal RNA (bases 1-133)
Source: RNAcentral